Molecule: ribosomal RNA, 393 nt
Filed under: Triticum aestivum (bread wheat)
Lineage: Eukaryota; Viridiplantae; Streptophyta; Magnoliopsida; Poales; Poaceae
Description: partial small subunit ribosomal RNA
Source: RNAcentral
AUGGGGAAGGAACGUUGUUGUUUGCGAGGUCUCGAUCAUUUACAUGGACCCACUUCUCAUUCCAUUUGUGGGAAUUUGAUGAUUUAUAAACCGUCCCCAACGAGCGAAAGGUUCAUGUUUGAACAUGAUGAAUCACUUCGUGCCAACCUGUUGCCCAUAAACUUUCCUGCCUCAUAUGAGAAUGGAAAACUGGAAGAUUUUCUGCAUCGGUGGAUGAAGAAUCACGAACAUAAGAAUUUUUGGUUUAGAAUGUUCCCAGAAAGAAGAUACUUCUUUUCCAUUCGAGAAACGAGGAGCACGACUGAAGUGGCUAUACAUACAAAUCCAUUUACGGAUCUAUAUGCUCCGAUUGGAACUGGAAGUUCCAGAACUGACGGCUGGUAUACCACCAUA